GGACUGGAUAAGAAGAUAUUUGUCCAGAAUCACUACUCAGUGUUCCAACAAAGUAAAUGUUCAGCUUCACAAUGCAAAGAAACUCUUUGCAGCCUGUUCAGCACAAUCGAAUGAGAGUAACCAAGCCCCCAUAUAUCCUGACGUCCAACUGUGUGCACUACCAACAUAAAACACAUAAGAACUAAUGUGGGACUUUUAUGAGAUAGUCACAUGACAGUAUGUGUGUGCACUGACACCUCUCCUGAGCCAUCCUUUCUCUCCCUUCAUAGUUUCACAUCCUGCACUGAAUGUGCACCACGUCAUUAUGCAAAACUAAAAAAAGUUGUGGUUGUUAUCAUUUUAUGUCACACAUCUUUCCUCCUCUGAA
Xyrichtys novacula (pearly razorfish) is the source of this 367-nucleotide non-coding RNA. NCBI's taxonomy places the organism in Eukaryota, Metazoa, Chordata, Actinopteri, Labriformes, Labridae. The record is from the annotation of a GenBank genome assembly.